AUUGAACGCUGGCGGCAUGCCUUACACAUGCAAGUCGAACGGUAACAGGUCUUCGGAUGCUGACGAGUGGCGAACGGGUGAGUAAUACAUCGGAACGUGCCUAGUAGUGGGGGAUAACUACUCGAAAGAGUGGCUAAUACCGCAUGAGAUCUACGGAUGAAAGCAGGGGAUCGCAAGACCUUGUGCUACCAGAGCGGCCGAUGGCAGAUUAGGUAGUUGGUGGGAUAAAAGCUUACCAAGCCGACGAUCUGUAGCUGGUCUGAGAGGACGAUCGACCACACUGGGACUGAGACACGGCCCAGACUCCUACGGGAGGCAGCAGUGGGGAAUUUUGGACAAUGGGCGAAAGCCUGAUCCAGCAAUGCCGCGUGCAGGAUGAAGGCCUUCGGGUUGUAAACUGCUUUUGUACGGAACGAAAAGCCCUGGGUUAAUACCCUGGGGUCAUGACGGUACCGUAAGAAUAAGCACCGGCUAACUACGUGCCAGCAGCCGCCGCGG
Molecule: ribosomal RNA, 498 nt
Filed under: uncultured bacterium
Lineage: Bacteria
Description: partial 16S ribosomal RNA
Rfam family: Bacterial small subunit ribosomal RNA
Source: RNAcentral